UAUGCGAUACUUGGUGUGAAUUGCAGAAUUCAGUGAAUCAUCGAAUCUUUGAACGCAUCUUGUGCUCUUUGGUAUUCCGAGGAGCAUGCCUGUUUGAGUGUCAUUAAAUUCUCAACUCUUCUACACUUGACUGUGAGGAAGGGCUUGGAUAGUGGAGGUUUGUGCUGGCCACUUUUUGAGGUCAGCUCCUCUGAAAUGCAUUAGCGGAACCGUUUGCGAUCUGCCACAAGUGUGAUAAUUAUCUACACUGGCGAGGGGAUUGCUCUCUGUGUUGUUCAGCUUCUAAUCAUCUCUGCAUAGCGAGAUAAUUGACUGAAUGCUUGACCUCAAAUCAGGUAGUACUAGCCUGCUGAACUUAAGCAUAUCAAUAAGCGGAGGAA
RNAcentral lists this ribosomal RNA (380 nucleotides) under Agaricus sp. BAB-3695. Its description in RNAcentral is "eukaryotic LSU rRNA". The stretch from base 1 to 103 matches the Rfam family "5.8S ribosomal RNA", at positions 52 to 154 of the family's 154-position model. Lineage: Eukaryota; Fungi; Basidiomycota; Agaricomycetes; Agaricales; Agaricaceae. The record is from RNAcentral.